RNAcentral lists this ribosomal RNA (253 nucleotides) under uncultured bacterium. RNAcentral's name for it is "partial 16S ribosomal RNA". It matches the Rfam family "Bacterial small subunit ribosomal RNA", at positions 524 to 776 of the family's 1533-position model. The record is from RNAcentral.
UACGGAGGGAGCUAGCGUUGUUCGGAAUUACUGGGCGUAAAGCGCGCGUAGGCGGCUUUGUAAGUUAGAGGUGAAAGCCCGGAGCUCAACUCCGGAACUGCCUUUAAAACUGCAUCGCUUGAAUCCAGGAGAGGUGAGUGGAAUUCCGAGUGUAGAGGUGAAAUUCGUAGAUAUUCGGAAGAACACCAGUGGCGAAGGCGGCUCACUGGACUGGUAUUGACGUUGAGGUGCGAAAGCGUGGGGAGCAAACAGG